RNAcentral lists this long non-coding RNA (311 nucleotides) under Setaria viridis. RNAcentral describes it as "long non-coding RNA (SVIR_LNC003631)". The record is from RNAcentral. Lineage: Eukaryota; Viridiplantae; Streptophyta; Magnoliopsida; Poales; Poaceae.
GGGGGGCGGGGGCAACAAGAGGUUUAAAACUACGUUUCAGCCUUUUACUGGCCAUAGGACGCUCUGAAUGACUUUUUUUCCACAUGACACCGAUUGGUUUUACAUCUGAAUUAUCUAAUAUAUUGUGCCUGCUUCUUCAACAAUAGUUUCAAUUUGGUGAGGUUCCUGGCUCUGUGUCCCUGCUUCUUCACCAACUGUAUCGAUAUCUCCAUCAUAUGGGCUCUAAUGUUAGAACUGGAAUAGUUCUUUUUCCAAGAAAGAGUCACUGGAUUAUGUUUGUCGUUUAAACGUUGUUACUGCAUAGAUGGGUA